RNAcentral lists this small nucleolar RNA (130 nucleotides) under Dasypus novemcinctus (nine-banded armadillo). Its description in RNAcentral is "Small nucleolar RNA SNORA31 (ENSDNOG00000034551.1)". It matches the Rfam family "Small nucleolar RNA SNORA31". From Rfam's summary of the family: ACA31 (SNORA31) belongs to the H/ACA class of snoRNAs which are thought to guide the sites of modification of uridines to pseudouridines. Lineage: Eukaryota; Metazoa; Chordata; Mammalia; Cingulata; Dasypodidae. The record is from RNAcentral.
AUGCAUCUCUGACAGAUCUGGAGCAGUUAAUGUCUGCUAAGGUUUCCACUACAGAUGCAAGUAAAAGAAGGCCCUGGCACUUUCUGUCUGUCUGGUUGUGAUAGCCAAGAUUGAAUGGGGGAAUACAGGA